Long non-coding RNA from Lutra lutra (Eurasian river otter), 774 nucleotides. RefSeq lists it as uncharacterized. The record is from RefSeq and is a predicted model, not a curated record. Lineage: Eukaryota; Metazoa; Chordata; Mammalia; Carnivora; Mustelidae. The transcript has 4 exons.
CCACGGUUCGCUGGCGCCGCCGCUGCUGUGGAGGCUGUGUGUGAAGUUGAAGUGUCCGGGGCGCUGGGAAAGCCAGGAGAUAACCUCCUUUGAAAGAGGAUUUCAAAGAGUUGCUGGAUUAUCACUUGUUUAUUUGUGGACCCUUGAUUGAAGGUAUCUUAUAUGCUGGGCCCAGGGCUGUGAAGGUAACCUGCAGCUUUACCUGCAAGGAGCUCUCUGUAUCAUGUGUGAGAGAAGACACAUGGACCAACACAAUGAUGAAUGCUGUGUAUUCCAACAAGGGGGGGAUAUAAAACCUGGAAGAGAUGCCUGACCCCUCCUAGAGGGUUACAGAAGACCCCUGGAGGAACUGACAUCUAAGUGAAAACUACCUAAGAUGCCAGGAUUCUCCAAGGAACUAAAAUAAAUAAAAAAGAAAAUACAUUUCUGAUGUGCUCCAUCUGCUGUGAUUUCAACAGAUGCUCCAAGUGGAUGCUCUGAGAAUAGGACCCAGAAAGCCAGCACCAAACCUCCCUUCUCCAGAAAUUUAACUCUGCGCACCUCCAGUCCACUAGCAGUAUUUAUUUCUACCACUUUGAAGGAUCACGCCACACAUGUAAGUUUGCUUUUUCUUGAACCUUUAUAAUCUGAUUUGUUUCUAGAAAUCCUUUUCCUUGAAAUAAGGGGCCAUUUCUUCAUGUUUCUUCUUUUUGAUCUACCUGUGUACCUUGUUCUGCAUACUUUAGUACUGAAUAAAAAACCUCAGAUUAAUUUGGAAGAAAAAAAUUGGAUUCC